Molecule: non-coding RNA, 61 nt
Filed under: Elusimicrobiota bacterium
Lineage: Bacteria; Pseudomonadati; Elusimicrobiota
Description: Elusimicrobia bacterium Li+-I sequence
Rfam family: nhaA-I RNA
About the family: Acidobacteria, Alphaproteobacteria, Betaproteobacteria and Gammaproteobacteria, Verrucomicrobia, cand. division NC10.
Source: RNAcentral
GGGUCCAAGAAUUUAAGUUUAAGUUCUUGGAGGAUAAAGUUAGAUGGUCGGGCCGCCAUCC